Molecule: long non-coding RNA, 4066 nt
Filed under: Panax ginseng (ginseng)
Lineage: Eukaryota; Viridiplantae; Streptophyta; Magnoliopsida; Apiales; Araliaceae
Description: long non-coding RNA (PGIN_LNC009727)
Source: RNAcentral
UUUGAUCAACAUCUUCCAUUUCAUCCUAACAAGCAAUAGAAUUACAAAUUAAUUUUUUUGACACAGUCCAAACAUAGUUGAAAUUCACAGCGUGCACAUUCGAGUACUAAUAUGACGUCUUGGCCAUGACAACGACUACAUGAGGAUAGAUAAUGGAUAUUUUUGUUUUUAACAAAUGUUAGGAUGUGUGGAUGAAUAUCAAGUACUAGUAGUGUACUCCCUAACUUGACAUUAUGAGGUGGAUGAAGGCAAUAGGUAUGAAAAGAUUGAUCACAUUCAGCACAAUGAUAGAGCCAGAAUUUUGGGUCUACUUCCUCCUCGCAGAUCUCGCAGUAAAUAAUGCCUUGACAAUCGAAAGGAGACUUUUUCAAGGGAAUGGGGUGAGGAUCCCAUCUAUGUCUGACCUCACUUGGAUAUUGUGCGCAAUUUAUAUGAAUUCUAAAACUGUUGCAGGUUUCACACAUGAAUUCCAUUUGCGAAAAGAUACCCUCGUCACAUGCGUUGCACCGAAAGUACUCGGAUGGUGCAUAUUGUUGAACUAGGGGGUGCUUGUGGAAGGCAUGUUUGAUCUUGGUAGGUAGAAAAGCACAACCAGUAUCAACCGUGAUAUCACAAGUCUCGCACAGAUAACAGAAUCCAUUGGUCAACAAGUGACAAGUGUCACAUACGACAUGGUUAAACAAAUUAUCAACUCUAUGCUUUGAGAGCGAAUGUUCCGGGUGGCGUGGGCAUUCUCCUACAGGCAACUCUGGUGGCAGCUCGGCACAAACUCUGUGAAGAAAGAUACUGCAUCCAAUACAGCCAUAAAAUGGAUGGGCAGUCGAGACGGGUUUUACACACCCAUCGCAAAGAAUUUCAUCAUCAUUAUUCUUAAAACUACUUUGAUCAAAUUCUUCCAGAAGGAGUAAUGCAUGCUCCCUAUGGCUCUCGUGGUAGAUUAAGUGAUCAGGCGUUGUUUCUAUGAUCAUUUUUUCAGUACCUUCUUCUUCGCCUAGAUUAAUAAUAUUGGUCUUGCCAAUAUGGUCUGUUAUUAGAUCCAAUAACGAUUCCUUAUUAUCCACCGGAAAGUGUAUCAAAUUAGGUAUGUCAUGGUCUGCUGCAAUCUCUUCUUCACAAUAUCUGAAACCACAAAUUAGUUAUAUAUGCCAUGCUAGAGUAGUAAGAAUUUCAAGUAAGCAUUAAUUGCUUAGUUUUCUUAAUACUUGUAGUAAUACAUUAAGACGUGAGUCAUAAAAGAUGAAAAGAAAGAAAGAAAUAAAAAUAGUAGUAAAACAAACCAAAUAAUUACUACAAAUUAGCACACACCUUGAAGAAUAUUCUUCCUCCGACAAUUUACCACAUUCCAUGUGCACAAAAUAUCUGCAUUUAUCACAAUAGUAAACCCAAGAGUUUUGCAACACGUCUUCGUUGCAGAGGCAGCAAAGUGGGAUACUCUUACGAUCCAUGUCAGGCAGAGAAUAUUUGAGGAAUAGAGGGUGACGGUGAAAACUAGGUGUGACGGUGGUUGGUGAAAAAGCACAAGUACUAUGGAUCCAAAAUGCACAUACGUGACAUUCAUAAGAGAAGUCCUCAGCUUUCAUGCCGCAAGCAUCACAUAAAAACAAGGCUUUCCUAGGCCAAAAGGUAAAUUCGUGCUUGUGUCCAUCAUGACGAAUCAAUCGAUCCUUACAUGUCAAGCACACGUCAAAGUUACAAGAAAGACAAGUGUACGUGAACCAAUUGGACACGCGGUUACAAAUAUCACAAAUGGUCGUAUCCGUUCCAUAACUACCCAAACGUGCGUGGAGGGUAAGAGGAUGUUGAUCGUGUAGAGGGUGAUGAAUUUCAUCGGGUAAUUCUGCACAGGUUUUGUGCAGGUAGAAAUCACAACCAUCUCUAGUGCAUAAAUAUACUGCAGCAUGACCAGAGGUGAGGCGGCCUCCAACGACUGGAUUUCGACACCCAUAACACACAACUAAUUCCUUUCCAAUAUGUUGAAUUAGCUCCACCUGCUCUUUGAGGAUCAGUGAGUGCUCAUGGCUAACAUGUUGAAGCUCCAUCCCUAAGUUAAAAUGUAUGUGUGGAGAGUUAAUUUGAUAGUUUAAUUUGAGCAAAUUAAAUAGCGGAUCCCCUCCCUCCAUAUAUAUAUAUAUAUAUAUAAAUAUAAACGACUAUAUAUAUUUCAUUCUCCAAAAAUAUCCAAACUCUAUUUAAUAGUAACAACUACCAAUACAGCUAUUAAACAUGACUGACCAAUAAUGCAUGUCACAGCUAGCAAUAAAUGCAUGUCACAACUAGCAAUAAUUAUUAAUUCAUAUCAAUUUGAUCUUGUCAACCUUGAUAUACUUACGGAAGAGAAUUCGAUGGUGAGAGAAUAAUUUUUUAUCCUUUGAAGUUAAAGAGGAUAUAAUGGACGGUGAGAUUUAUCCCAAACUUUGGACGAUUCUGAUCGUUUAUUAGGGUGAGUGAAAAAUUCAAAAUUAAUUAUGUUUUAUUAAUUAUAUAUAUAUAAAACAAAAUACAACUUAACUGUCACUGCUCAGUUUUUACGUAUUGCUCAUGUGAAGAAUAAAACAUAUGAACCAGCUGCUCCAAGACAUUUUCAUACAAAGAUUCACCUCUCUGCUCCUUAGACAGAUCUUGGUUUGAAUCAAUAUGUUGAAUAAAAUUUUACUUGAAUCUCCUUGAUUUUAACCGUAAAUGUCCAAUUAUUAUACUACUACUAGUUAACAAAAUAAUGAUUCUCCUUCAAAUUUCAAUGUAGUCUGUUUGAAUAAAAAUUCUUGCAGAGUCCGCCAUUCUUGGGUCUACUUCCUCCUCGCAGAUCUCGCAGUAAAUAAUGCCUUGACAAAAGAAAGGAGGGUAUUUCAAGGGAAUGGGGUGAGGAUCCCAUCUAUGUCUGACCCUACUUGGAUAUUGUGCGCAAUCUAUAUGAAUUCUAAAACUGUUGCAGGUUUCACAAAUGAAUUCCAUGUACCGUGAAGAGAUAAAUCGGCAACAUGCCUUGCACCGAAAGUACUCGGAUGGUGCAUGUUGAACUAGAGGGUGCUUGUGAGAUUUAUGUUUGAUCUUGGUAGGUAGAAAAGCACAACCAGUAUCAACCGUGAAAUUACAAGUCUCGCACCGAAAAUAGAAUCCAUUGGUCGACAAGUUACAAGUGGUACAUUUGACGCAGUUAAAAAAAUUAUCAACUCUAUGCUUUGAGAGCGAAUGUUCCGGGUGGCGUGGGCAUUCUCCUACAGGCAACUCGGGUGGCAGCUCGGCACAAACUCUGUGAAGAAAGAUACUGCAUCCAAUACAGCCAUAAAAUGGAUGGGCAGUCGAGACGGGUUUUACACACCCAUCGCAAAGAAUUUCAUCAUCAUUAUUCUUAAAACUACUUUGAUCAAAUUCUUCCAGAAGGAGUAAUGCAUGCUCCCUAUGGCUCUCGUGGUAGAUUAAGUGAUCAGGCGUUGUUUCUAUGAUCAUUUUUUCAGUACCUUCUUCUUCGCCUAGAUUAAUAAUAUUGGUCUUGCCAAUAUGGUCUGUUAUUAGAUCCAAUAACGAUUCCUUAUUAUCCACCGGAAAGUGUAUCAAAUUAGGUAUGUCAUGGUCUGCUGCAAUCUCUUCUUCACAAUAUCUGAAACCACAAAUUAGUUAUAUAUGCCAUGCUAGAGUAGUAAGAAUUUCAAGUAAGCAUUAAUUGCUUAGUUUUCUUAAUACUUGUAGUAAUACAUUAAGACGUGAGUCAUAAAAGAUGAAAAGAAAGAAAGAAAUAAAAAUAGUAGUAAAACAAACCAAAUAAUUACUACAAAUUAGCACACACCUUGAAGAAUAUUCUUCCUCCGACAAUUUACCACAUUCCAUGUGCACAAAAUAUCUGCAUUUAUCACAAUAGUAAACCCAAGAGUUUUGCAACACGUCUUCGUUGCAGAGGCAGCAAAGUGGGAUACUCUUACGAUCCAUGUCAGGCAGAGAAUAUUUGAGGAAUAGAGGGUGACGGUGAAAACUAGGUGUGACGGUGGUUGGUGAAAAAGCACAAGUACUAUGGAUCCAAAAUGCACAUACGUGACAUUCAUAAGAGAAGUCCUCAGCUUUCAUGCCGCAA